This 253-nucleotide ribosomal RNA is filed under the name uncultured bacterium. RNAcentral's name for it is "partial 16S ribosomal RNA". It matches the Rfam family "Bacterial small subunit ribosomal RNA", at positions 524 to 776 of the family's 1533-position model. The record is from RNAcentral.
UACAGAGGCCUCGAGCGUUAGGCGGAAUCACUGGGCUUAAAGCGUGUGUAGGCGGACUUCUAAGUACCUUGUGAAAUCCCACGGCUUACCCGUGGAACGGCUGGGUAUACUGGGAGUCUUGAGCCACCUAGGGGCGAGUGGAACAAAUGGUGGAGCGGUGAAAUGCGUAGAUAUCAGAAGGAACACCCAUGGCGAAGGCAGCUCGCUGGCCUACAACUGACGCUGAGGCGCGAAAGCGUGGGUAGCAAACAGG